This 896-nucleotide long non-coding RNA is filed under the name Olea europaea subsp. europaea. Lineage: Eukaryota; Viridiplantae; Streptophyta; Magnoliopsida; Lamiales; Oleaceae. The record is from RNAcentral.
GGGCCCAUUAGACACAGGAUCGGCUCUGCAUAUAAUUACAAGCUCCGGAGAGCCCGUUUCAUGGAAUAUCCCAACGAGCUUCUCACCAUGGCUGUUCUGUAUUACCAGCUUCGUUUGUUCAGCCACUGCCCAAUAAAUUACAAAAUUUACAGAAAACAAAACAAAAAAAUAGAAAAAGGAAUCAAACACGGAAUGCUAGUUAUUAAAUUGACAACUUGUACAGAAACCAAAAAUGAGGUUAGAAACAAAUAUAUGUUUUUCAAUAAAAAGGUAUUCAUUCUUCACCUCUUUUUCUAGUCUACUAAUAGCUGCAAGCAAUAACACAAUUGCAUAGUAACAUGAUGGCAAUUUAUAUCCAAAAAUACAUAAGAAGGUCUACCAUUUUCAGCUUUCGGAAAAACAAAUUACUCGAAAUAAUCGAUAGAAAAUUAUAAAAGAAUAAAAAACAAAGAAACACAAAACAUAUAUAAAAAAAGGACACAAUCUUGGACUUUUUGAAUGGAAAACUCAUAGGUCCAUAACUCACAAAAAAAUCAAUAUGAUCAUCCUAGGAUUCAUAAACAAUUAUGGGAUUUCUUUUUUCUUCGUUUUUUCCCCCUAAAUCUUGAAAUAGAAGCAGUAAUAUUCAAGCGUUUUGAAAUUCUGAAAAAGUAACUCUGGCAUGCGUUGCUAAGCACUCACCCGAACUGGAAUUUGAAGUCCGAACCAUUUGAUAUGUGGGAUUCUUCAACGCAUACGAAUUACAAUGGCAGUGCUUGCAGGUCAGUAAUCCUGUUUCCGUGCACUAAAAUCGCGUUCAAUCAAUGAAGAAUUUAUUUGGGUCUAUCAUGGAAAUAAAAAGAUAAAUCUGAAUUUCUUUGAGGAUUCUCAAAAUGGGUGGAUAAGCCCUGAUCCAC